This 407-nucleotide ribosomal RNA is filed under the name uncultured bacterium. RNAcentral's name for it is "partial 16S ribosomal RNA". It matches the Rfam family "Bacterial small subunit ribosomal RNA", at positions 28 to 526 of the family's 1533-position model. The record is from RNAcentral.
GACGAACGCUGGCGGCGUGCCUAAUACAUGCAAGUAGAACGCAGUUGCGAACGGGUGAGUAACGCGUAGGUAACUGCCUCAUAGCGGGGGAUAACUAUUGGAAACGAUAGCUAAAACCGCAUACUGUGAGAUGGACCUGCGUUGUAUUUGGUAGUUGGUGGGGUAAAGGCUCACCAAGGCGACGAUACAUAGCCGGCCUGAGAGGGUGGUCGGCCCCACUGGGAAUGGGGCACUGCCCAGACUCCGUCGGGGGGCCGCAGGUGGGGAUCAUCGGAAAUGGGCGGAAGUCUUGCCGAGCAACGCCGCGUGAGUUAAGAAGGUUUUCGGGUCGUAAAACUCUGUUGUGUGGGGAGCGUUACCUAACCAAAAAGGGACGGCUAACUCCGUGCCAGCAGCCGCGGUAAUAC